Long non-coding RNA from Malus domestica (apple), 1516 nucleotides. RefSeq lists it as uncharacterized. NCBI's taxonomy places the organism in Eukaryota, Viridiplantae, Streptophyta, Magnoliopsida, Rosales, Rosaceae. The record is from RefSeq and is a predicted model, not a curated record.
CCCAACACUCCCUCCUUCCCUCCCUCAUUUCUCUCCUCUCCACCCACCCAACCCUAAAUUCAAUUAAUUCUCCCAACUCCCACUUCGAUGGCCAUCGUCCCCUCCUCUACCUCUAGUUCCCACUUUAAUUAAUUCUCGCUUUCAAUUAUUCUUCUCUACACGAAGACACCCAAAUCUUGCAGGAAGUUCAGAAUCAAAUCUCCGCUAAGAACAAGUGGAUUUGCAGGACGUCAGGGUCUCCAAGCUAGAUAUGGGUAGGGGUUCGAUUCGGGAGUGCCUAACGAUAUGAAUUCUGGGUUGGAUUCGGGAAGAUCCACGUCGGUGUUGGAUUUCGAGCGAAGGGUUGGAGGCCUCGACCGAAUCCAGAGGAGGAAGGUAAAGAUAUGCUGCCUUGGGCUUGGCAUGUUGGAGGAUUGGGCUCCAUGAAUAACUUAUGCGGCGACAUCUCUUGGCUGAGGUUGGGUUUUGGGGUGUGGAGGAUGGGGUUAGGUUUUUGGAUGAGGAUGAUGAGGGUUUGGAGCAGGAGGUUGUUGGGGAUUUGCAAUUAAGGGUGGGCAAAUUGGCCCUAGCCCUGUGGGGCGAGCCGGUUCCAUGUGGUUCGAGGCGGGUCUGAAAUUUGUAAAGACAAAAUGGGGCGGGCCGGGGCAAGGAUCUCAAAAUUAUAGGAGCGGGGCGGGUGCAAAGGCUUGAGAAAACGAGGGCCCGUUGGACCCGUUUCUCCCAAUUCUCACAAAAAUAUAUGUUGUGGCCCCGUGUACCUUUGUACUACAUUGUUUUCUUGAGUGGUAGUACAAUUAUACUUCAUUGUUUUCUUUCUUUAUUUCAUUUUUUUUAAUUUUAUUUUUUAGCUGGGGCCUCGUGUACAUCAGUCUCCAUCAUAACUCUCUCUCACUUCUUCCUCACCUUCUCACUAGAAAGAAAUCAAACUUGAAUCUCAUCAGUCACUUCUCUCACCAUUUGGCACCAUUGUUUCGAGACCAUCGUUGUCACUGUCAACAACCAUGUCGUCGUUGUCGAAGAAGAUCACCCUCAAGAGCUCGAAUGGCGAGUCGUUCAAGGUUGAGGAGGUGGUGGCGUUGGAAUCGCAGACCAUCAAGCACAUGAUCGAGGACGAUUGCGCCGACAACGGCAUGUCGACGCCGCCAAUCUCGAUGAGAAGAUCUCCGAGUACGAUCUCAAGGCCUGGGAUCAGAAGUUGGUUUGAUUCUAGGGUUUCAGAAUUUGGGGAUUCGGUUGGGUUAAGGUUUUUUUGAUUUGGGAAUUGGGGUCAAUUGUGUUGUUUUAGGGCCUAGAGUUAUUAAUUUAGGGGUUUUCUAUGAUGGUGGAUUGAAUGGCGAGCAGCCAGCGUCAUCUUACUCAAAAGUUGACAAGCAAGGGAAAUCGGACGGAAAAAGGGUUUGGGUGGGGGGAAAAAAAUAGAGGGUCUAGUUCCAGUGAUCAGAUUUGCAAUACCCGGCCUGGCCCAUGCCCACCCCUAUUUGCAAUGGUGAAGACAGAAGUUCGAAAUGGGGAUGGG